Molecule: transfer RNA, 55 nt
Filed under: Macrostomum lignano
Lineage: Eukaryota; Metazoa; Platyhelminthes; Macrostomidae
Description: tRNA-Gln
Source: RNAcentral
GUAGUUCGGUGUUUGGGCAUGCAAAGUUUUGGACUUUUAGGAAUUAUUUAACUAC